AGUAAAUUAACAAGUAACAACAUUCCAUGUUUGGACAUCUUACGAAACAAGAAAAAAUAACUGCAUGAAGAAUAAUUUAUUUGGACGAAGGCAAAUGAAGUAUUCUUCAUUUCUGCCUUAAGAGGUCUUCACGAAGGCAGCAAAACGUUCCAAUCCUCCACGAAUAAGCUUCUCCAUAAACGGUUUCAUUAACUGUAAUUUUUGAAACAUAAAAAAAAAAGAUAAUGAGACAAAAUGUUAACAAGAAAUACACACGUAAAUUAUUUACGAAAAAACUAUAAUCAUCCACUAUAUGGAGAAAUAGCCUUACAAAUGCAACUGGAGCUAAAGCAUGUGGAACUUCGAAUGAAAAAUUAAUCUGACAGAAAAGUAAUGAAUAAAUGAAACUAAAAUUGAUCACAUAUGUAUUGAAAGUGAGAAAAAUGGUGACGAGAUACUACUAACCUCUACUAAGCACAAGGAAGGGCCUCUAGGGAAAAAUCGAACACUGCCUCUGUUUUAUAAAUACAGAACAUACAUUUUUUCAAAAUCAAUAAGAAAAAUUGAAAAGAUGGUUAUUUUUGUAUAAACCAAAUUUGAGUUCACCUAUUUGCAAAGCCUUCUAUAGAUCUCCAGUGCAGCUUUCUGUCUGGAAUUGGCUGUAGAGAGAGAUUGCAAGAAUAAAUAAUAUUUAGUUCGAAUUUCUAAUGAACAAAAAUAAUAUAAUCGGAUUGGUGGAUAUUAAUUUAAUACCUGCAAAUUUUUGGCGAGAAAAUGAUAUUCAACAUUUUGUCCAAAAGAAUUGAAUUUUACCAAAUACCGGGAUAAAUCAGGACUACCCUCCACUGCCUAAGAGACGCAAAUAAAAUAUUUAAGUCAGGUGAGCAAGAAUUAAAGCUUAUAGACUCCGUUUCAGAGUAAGGUUUACCUCAACUGAUGACAAAAAUGGCAUCCACUUAGGGAAUAAGUCACGAUCUGCGUAUAACUUGUAAGCCACGGAAGCUGGUGCGUCCACUACCAUCUUUACCCUGUUUCAUCCAGACCAAAUAAUUUUUACAACCGAAUCUCUCUAGACACUAAGUAUCAAGUUUUUGCUCCCUUAAUAAACUUACGCGACGUCUUGCCAGUGUACUUGGCGGAGUCUUUCUUCUUCAAGUCGAUCAGCUUCUCAUCCUCCACGCAAAAAUGGCGGCUAUAAUACGACAUACUAAAGCUAAUGAACUUGCAAAAACAAUUGUGUAGGUUAAGGACGGGUACUUUAUAAACAUAAGGUUAAGCAUCAUAAUUAAAUUGUGUGAAUGUGUGUAUGUUAUAUAAUAAUCAAACUGCAUGUGUGUAUACACUGUAUAAUAUAUAAUAAUUUAAUUGUGUGUGUAUAUAUAUAUCUCGAAUAUAAAUAACAAAAAAAUAGGUAGUGUAUACAAAAAGAGAAGUUAGAAGACAGAACAAUUUUCCAAUUAUCAGUCAUAUAUAUUUUUGUAUUUUAAUUUUUUUUUUUUUUUUAAAUAAUAAAAUUAAAAUACAAAAAUAUAUGUUAUCUGUAUAUGUAAUUUAAAGUUUCUCUAAUAUUAAAUAAGAAAAUGUAAGAUUAUGUUUAGUUAAUUUACUUAUAGUUAUAUAUAAUUAUGAGUAUUUUUAUAAUAACAAUAAAUCAAACAUGAUAGGCUAAUACCUUUUAUUUUUACUUAGACUAGAGGUGAUCCAAAAUUUUAUAAAAUACAUUUACUUUCAACAAAAUAUUAUAUAUUUUAAAAUUUCUAACCCUGUUAAUAUUGAAAUUGAUUUUUAGCAAAAUAAGCAUAUACAUAUGUUAAUAUAUAUUUUCUGAAUAUUGCAUUUUCUUUUCUUUUCUUUUUGUCACAUUUGUGAAAUAGCAUGCUGAAAAUGGAAGAUAAAGGAUGGAGACUGAUAUGAACAAGUUGGUCAAUAUAAGGCAAGAGGCUGUUAGGUGCUUAAAAAUACCUAUAGGCAAUGAGACAUUAACAUGUCCACGUCUACUUUAAGAGUAUGAAAGAUGUUGCCUGCUUCUUCAUUACAAAGAUACACAAAUAUGUAUAUGUAUAACAUUGUGCGUGUGUAAAAUAGAAUAAUAUAAAGAUACAAUAUAUACACAUGUGUGUAUAUAGUGUGAUUGUGAAUAGGAGACUGGCUCUUCAAACUUCUGCCCUCAAUCUAGAGGAUUUGGUAGAUGUACACUUUGCUUCAUUUCCAGUGCACGUCUCCAUAGUCCAUACUUUGCUCCAUCUUCUAAUAUUUAUCCACUAAUUUUCAUCUUUAUAGCUAGCAAUAUGUUUCUAGAAAGAGAGCUAAUAAUACAUUAAUACACGUAGGUACACAAAGAACUACCAACUUAGUUAAACAAACAAUUUGUCAAAAAAAAAACUUAGUUAAACGAAUAAUAUAUCCAUAUGAUACAUUCCAACGGUAUAAACGAUCGCGAACGGGAAAAUAUGUAUACACAAGAGUAGAGAUGUCGGCUAAAUUGGAAAUGAUUAUAGGUAGGGCUGGGUUGCGGGUCAAACCCGCCCUGCUGAUCCGCCAACCCGCGGGUUAUAAAGUUUUUUCUUUUGUCAAAAAAUCCGAUCCGCACAAUCCGCGAACAAAUAAAUUUGUACCCGCACUCGCCCCGCUUAAUUUUGCGGGUAACCCACGGGACCUGCGAAUUAUAUUUUUAUUUAUAGAUUUGAUUAUAAUUUUUGGAGUGUCUUAUUAUGCAAAAUUUGAAAUUUCUCAAAAAGAAAAAAAACUGGAUGAAAAGCUCCCAAUAAUAAAGUUCUUAUGCACACCUAAAGUUUGUCUUAAAAUGCCAUCUCUUAAAUGGUUUUUUCUUCACCCUAGGAGGUCUUACAAUAUCUCUCAUCCUCUUUAUUUUAGUUUAUACCCACUUUGAAAAACUUUUCUGGAGGAUAUGUAUAUAAAUUAUAGUUUGGGACAGUUUAUUCAAUACACGACGAAACAUAUAACAUGUAAAAAGAAUUAUUCUCCACUGAAGAUAAUUGAGAAAAGGUUAAAUACAUUUGUUAUGAUAAAAUAUAGUUAUAUACAUAGUUUCAGUUUUUUAUUAAAGAGAAAACAAGAAGAGAAUGGCCGCGAGUGGGUUAUAUCUAACCUCUUUCGGCUUCUUCAGUGGCCCAAUUCUUUUUCAUGUAUUUAAUAUUAUAGAAAAGGUGAGGUACAAAUGAUUCUUUUUAAUAUGUGAAUAAUUUACUGAAUUACCAAGAAUAUACACAAUGGUGUAGUUUUCAAAUUAAAAAUUUACUGUAGUAUAUUUCUCCAAAUUUUCCCAUUUAGUUUUUAUCAUAAACCAAAAAACCAGCAUUCAAAAUUAUUGAAUUUAGGUAUAUUUAUAUUAAGUUUGAAAUUUUAUUUUAAGAUAGAAUAAUUUGCUGACUGAACGUUUAUAAUCCAAACUUAUCGCUAAAUAUUGUUUCAUAUUUUAUACACAAAAUUAUUUUAUGAGAAAAAUAGAAUAUCUAAUAAAUGGACAGUAAAAUUGUUCAUAAUGAAUAAUAAAAUACAAUAAAUUAUCAAUAUAUACAUAUAUAUUAAGUAGGUUUUAUCCUUUUUAUUAGAUCAUCAAAACAAGUAAUGUACCAAAAAUUGAAUCAUAAGCACAUUUCUUAAAAACAACCAAGAUUUUAGUUAAUUAUCUAUAUAUCAUUAAACAUUGAGUUGGUGAUAGUGAUACUACUAAGCUACUGCGAAGCAUUUUCGUAUUUCAAAUAAUGUGAAAAUAACCUUUUUUAAGUGUGAGAAAUAUUUAGAAUAGAGAUUUUGGUCUAAGAGAAUGUCAUACAAUUUUGGAUAUUAGGUACAAAAACAACAUUAAUAAAUUUAUUUUCGUGUUUAAAUAAUUGGUAUGCAGUAGUGACACCUUUAAAAAAAAUAUUUUUUUGAAUGCCUAAAUAUAUUUUUUAAAGUUAUUCUAGAAAUUAAUAUUGUUUUGCUUAAAUCCAAAUUUUGGAAUACUAUUUUUCAAAAAUUUAACUUGCUUGAAAGACAUCCAAUACAUAUUAUGAUAUUUCAACUCUUUGCGGUUGCACAUACUUCAGAAUAAUAUUUUUAUAUUUUCAAAUGUUUGAAAAUAAUUUAAAACAUAAAUUUAAAAGACAUAAUCCGCGCGUAGCGCGGAAAAAAGAUCUAGUUGCUUUAAAUAAUAAAUAGCUUUGUCACACAGCAAGCGUAUAAUCUUGAAAGAAACAUGUCUUAAUUACUUUAGAAUAUUUACUUUUCAUCAGUAAAUUAACAAGUAACAACAUUCCAUGUUUGGACAUCUUACGAAACAAGAAAAUAACUGCAUGAAGAAUAAUUUAUUUGGACGAAGGCAAAUGAAGUAUUCUUCAUUUCUGCCUUAAGAGGUCUUCACGAAGGCAGCAAAAUGUUCCAAUCCUCCACGAAUAAGCUUCUCCAUAAACGGUUUCAUUAACUGUAAUUUUUGAAACAUAAAAAAAAAGAUAAUGAGGCAAUAUGUUAACAAGAAAUACACACGUAAAUUAUUUACGAAAUAAUUU
RNAcentral lists this long non-coding RNA (4490 nucleotides) under Brassica napus (rape). RNAcentral's name for it is "long non-coding RNA (BNAP_LNC012501)". Lineage: Eukaryota; Viridiplantae; Streptophyta; Magnoliopsida; Brassicales; Brassicaceae. The record is from RNAcentral.